UACUGUGUUUACUUAUAGUCAUAACUAUA
This 29-nucleotide non-coding RNA is filed under the name Mus musculus (house mouse). Lineage: Eukaryota; Metazoa; Chordata; Mammalia; Rodentia; Muridae. The record is from RNAcentral.